GACGAACGCUGGCGGCGUGCUUAACACAUGCAAGUCGAACGGAAAGGCCCUGCUUUUGUGGGGUGCUCGAGUGGCGAACGGGUGAGUAACACGUGAGUAACCUGCCCUUCACUUUGGGAUAACUUCAGGAAACUGGGGCUAAUACCGGAUAGGAGCUCCUGCUGCAUGGGGGGGGUUGGAAAGUUUCGGCGGUUGGGGAUGGACUCGCGGCUUAUCAGCUUGUUGGUGGGGUAGUGGCUUACCAAGGCUUUGACGGGUAGCCGGCCUGAGAGGGUGACCGGCCACAUUGGGACUGAGAUACGGCCCAGACUCCUACGGGAGGCAGCAGUGGGGAAUAUUGCACAAUGGGCGGAAGCCUGAUGCAGCAACGCCGCGUGCGGGAUGACGGCCUUCGGGUUGUAAACCGCUUUCGCCUGUGACGAAGCGUGAGUGACGGUAAUGGGUAAAGAAGCACCGGCUAACUACGUG
This 468-nucleotide ribosomal RNA is filed under the name uncultured bacterium. RNAcentral's name for it is "partial 16S ribosomal RNA". It matches the Rfam family "Bacterial small subunit ribosomal RNA", at positions 28 to 507 of the family's 1533-position model. The record is from RNAcentral.